CGGAAUUAAAUUCAAAUCAUCAUAAAGUCUUGGCACGUAGGCCUCAUUAAAACAUCUCAUAAAAAUUCAGUUAAACAUCAUAAAUGAACACGUAAAAGAAUGAAGCAUGAAUAACAUAAACCCCAUCCCGUUACGUAUCAGAGCGACCUAGAUGACUCGGUGAGGCAAGGCCAUUGACGACAGCAAACUGCACACUAAGCUCGAUCACCUGCAAGUUACUCAUACGAAGAGCAACAUUUCCAAGCAGAAGGGGUGAGAUUUCACAAAACAAUAAUAUUAAUCAAUAUAAUUCAACAAACGUAAUUAACAGCAUAAACAUCUUAAACAUCAUUGCAUCUUUGAUAAACAAUUAUCAAGUAAUCACUUCAUUCAAUCAUCAUCAAUAUCAUAACAUUUUAACAUCAUUUGACUCGACAAUGCAACAAUGCAACCUAAACCUCUUAUAUGCAUGUGGUACCAAUUCAGGGCAUGAGCCCCCAACAUUAUAGUAUUAAUAUACUUUCAGGGCAUAAGCCCCCAACAGUUUAUUUUAAGCAAAUGCUCCAUCAUGGUGAGUACAAAGCUCCAGGGCAUGAGCCCCCAACAAAUGUAUGCUAAUGCAUGGACUCAAUCAUCUAAAACAUCUUAAUCAUCAUCUCAUAUACAUCCAAUAAUUUGGAGUUCAACAUCAUCUUGUAUAGACUCAUGCAACUUAGUUAAAUAACGAAAGCAGCAUAAUCAGAUCACAACAACAUUAUAACUUCAUAAUAUCAAUUCAUUUUCAACAACAUCAUGAUCAUUCAAUAAUAUCUCAAGUAAUGCAUUUAAUCAUUAAAUCACAUUACAAACAACUUAGCAGUUUAAACAGCCUCACAGAUUUCAGUUAACAUCUUAAAUAUGUCUUACUACUACCUAAAGUUCCAUUCCUAAUCAAUUCAAGCAACUCAGGUCACAACAAUCUCAAUUGCACUCAGUUCUGGAAGUGCUCGCGAGGCGAGAGCAUCUUCUCGCCAUGACGAGUACAAGCCAUAUUUCCAACUCCAGUUGUUCGAAGCUAAACCAGGUUCAAUCUCGUUCUAAAUCAUCAUCUAAUCUUUAUUAAACAUCUUAAGGCACUCAAAAGCAUCUAAGGUUCAACUCAAAAGUCAAAAUUACGAAAUUCAACAUGCUCUCUGGUCAUGCUCGCUAUGGCGAGUAAGGUUGCUCGCUGUGGUGAGCUACGACUUGUAACUCGCAAGGCGAGGGGUAAUGGCUCGCGUGGCGAGCGAUGAACUUCAUCACUCGCGAGGUGAGGAUCAUCGUUCGCCAGGGCGAGCGAUGAAUACAGGCUCGGGCAGAAUUGCAGUUUUUACAAAAAUCCAUCUAAUCUCAUGGUUUAAAGCCUAAUUUUGAUUCCUGAAAUCAUCCUAUUCAUAAUCUAAGGUCAAAGGAUGGUUUUUACACCAAUUUAACAACCUAACAUCAUCGGAUCAUCAAAAUCACCAAUUAACCCUAAUUUCAUAACUUUUCUAAUUCAAUCCUAACUUUGUUAAUUGAUCAUCAGAAUUAUAAGGAUUAAUACUACUAAAUCAUUAGUCUCACCCUUACCUUGAAUGAAGAAAAUCGCAGCACUCUCUCUGGUCUUCUCCCUUCUCUGGCUUUUUCUCCCUUUUCUCCAAAAACAGUCGUACGUACAAAACGUUUUCUAAAACCUAGGUCUUUCCUUUUUAUAUCUCCUCCUAAUAUAUUAUCUUAUCUCACUUUCUCCCCCAAAACUCUCUAAAAUCUCAAAACAACCCUUAACUAAAUAUUUUAUUUUAUUUUCAAAUCUUAUUUUAUUAAACAAUAAAAUAAGUCUCAUAUCUCAUAAAAUCAUCAAAACUCAUAGCUCAUCUAAAAAUCAUCCAAAUCAUCUGAAAUCGUCAUAAAUCAUCAAAAUUCACAAAUAUAUUAUAUAAAUAUAAUAUAACUCGUCUAAACUUGAUUAAAUAAAAGUGGGCGUUACACUAAUUUCUACCAAUUUUCCCAAUCUCACCAAUGAACAAGACACUCGAUGAUUUUCACUCACCCAAUGUGUUUACAAUGUUUCCCAACCCAAGAGAACUCUAAUCAAAUAUCAUCAACCCUAAAGUUACCUCCUUUGAUUUCCCAAGUUUAUCUCUCUUCAAGCUCUCCUUCAAAAUCUGCAAAGAACACUUAUAUAGCAGUCUUCAGCUGUCAAAAUCGUGUCACGUUUUCCCAAAUCGUGACACGUUUGGUGCGUACGACCCAAGGUACGACCAAUCUUAUCCUGAAAACUUGCCCAGCAAGCUGAAAAUCGUGUCACGAUUGGGCACCCUGCAAAACAGCUCUCGACAUUGCAAAAUCGUGACAUGCUUCACAAAUCGGGUCACGAUUCCAAGUUUUCCUUUCUUCACAAAUUUGAAGAUAAAUACAACAUACACAAACAUUUAACAUGAAGACCCCUUUAAUACUUAAGGAAAAACCAUGAGACAAAGUUCAAAAAUAUUCCACUAUUUUAAAAUAUUGCACUACUCUCUCCACUGAUCUCUUUCACACUCAAGAGAAAUAAUAUAGUGUGACACACUCCUAUUCAAAUAGAACUUUUUUUCUUCCUCUCAAUAUCGAAGCUUUGUAUUUUCUUUGAGCUUCGGAUGCUUUGUUCCAUAUACCAAGACCUCUAAUCCUUUAUUUAUAAAUGAAAUGUGGCAAUGUGAAUUCAAUGCUUCUUUGUCAAAUAUUGUAGGAAGCUGAAUGUGAAAUCUGCAAGCUAUAACAAUAUCAGCACCGCAAGCUAUAACAUAG
RNAcentral lists this long non-coding RNA (2763 nucleotides) under Medicago truncatula (barrel medic). Its description in RNAcentral is "long non-coding RNA (MTRU_LNC004678)". Lineage: Eukaryota; Viridiplantae; Streptophyta; Magnoliopsida; Fabales; Fabaceae. The record is from RNAcentral.